This 838-nucleotide ribosomal RNA is filed under the name uncultured alveolate. Its description in RNAcentral is "SSU rRNA". It matches the Rfam family "Eukaryotic small subunit ribosomal RNA", at positions 47 to 1012 of the family's 1831-position model. The record is from RNAcentral.
AGCCAUGCAUGUCUAAGUAUAAAUAACUACACAGUGAAACUGCGAAUGGCUCAUUAAAACAGUUAUAGUUUAUUUGAUACAAGAAAUGGAUAACUGUAGAAAAACUAGAGCUAAUACAUGCCGUAACCGCAAGGUUGUAUUUAUUAGAUAUACCCAGUAGGUGAUUCAUAAUAACUAUGCAAAUCGAGGCUCUGCCUCGAUACAUCAUUCAAGUUUCUGCCCUAUCAGCUUUCGAUGGUAGUGUAUUGGACUACCAUGGCUUUCACGGGUAACGGAGAAUUAGGGUUCGAUUCCGGAGAAGGAGCCUGAGAAACGGCUACUACAUCUAAGGAAGGCAGCAGGCGCGUAAAUUACCCAAUCCUGACUCAGGGAGGUAGUGACAAGAUAUAACAACGCUAUUUUAUAUAGCGAUUGUAGUGAGGGUUUUCUAAAAAGAACUUCGAGUACGAUUGGAGGGCAAGUCUGGUGCUAGCAGCCGCGGUAAUUCCAGCUCCAAUAGCGUAUAUUAAAGUUGUUGCAGUUAAAAAGCUCGUAGUUGGAUUUCAAAGUGGAGGUGAGGAAACUCGCCGAAACUUAUCAGUCCUAUCGGACUGUUACUGUGAGAAAAUUAGAGUGUUUAAAGCAGGCCAUUGCAGGAAUACAUUAGCAUGGAAUAACGAGUGUGUCUAGAAUCUUGGUUAAUUCUAGAAAACGAUUAAUAGGGACAGUUGGGGGCAUUAGUAUUUAAUUGUCAGAGGUGAAAUUCUUGGAUUUAUUAAAGACUAACAUAUGCGAAAGCAUUUGCCAAGGAUGUUUUCAUUAAUCAAGAACGAAAGAUUGGGGAUCAAAGACGAUCAGA